This 618-nucleotide long non-coding RNA is filed under the name Androctonus crassicauda. The record is from RNAcentral. Lineage: Eukaryota; Metazoa; Arthropoda; Arachnida; Scorpiones; Buthidae.
AUCUGGAGUUUAUAUAGGUGAGUUUUAAAUCUUCAAGCAAUAUUCUACCCAAACUCUGAUGUGAUAAUCCGUUCUUCCUGACAACAUGCCAUGUCAACAAGCAGAACGUUGCAGAUUUUGCUCAAUCACAGCAUUUAAUGCUUGGAUAGUCUCUAGAGUUCAAAUCAUUUUGCUUGGUCCUGCAUGUUUCAAGUUCAGUGUUGAACCCAUUGUUUCAAAUUUUUCCAUUUCUUCACAUUGUGGGCCAAUGGAACCAUAUCAGGAUGGUGCAGUUGAAAAUGAUGCUAGAAUUUAUGCCAUGGAGCUUCACAGCAAUCAUUGUUUUUGUAAUAUGCAUUCAUCAUGAAAGCAUGCUGCUCCUCUGACCACUGCUCCAUAGCAACUGAAAUGUGUGGAUCUGCAACAGGCUAUGUCGCCAGUUUUUGGGGGUGUUAUCAUUUGAUGAUACCACUCCUGACACCACUGUGAGGUCGGUGAUUUUUGGGGGGUCUUAUCGUUCGAAGACCCUGUCAUCGUAUGGGAUGAACCGAGCUUUUCCGUGUUUAACUGUCAGGUCCUGACACCAGGAGAAGUUUAAAGUGUUUCUCCAACACUCGAAUAUCGGCCUUGAAUUUACGU